RNAcentral lists this ribosomal RNA (440 nucleotides) under uncultured bacterium. RNAcentral describes it as "partial 16S ribosomal RNA". It matches the Rfam family "Bacterial small subunit ribosomal RNA", at positions 338 to 795 of the family's 1533-position model. The record is from RNAcentral.
CCUACGGGCGGCAGCAGUAGGGAAUAUUGCGCAAUGGAGGAAACUCUGACGCAGCAACGCCGCGUGGAGGAUGAAGGUCUUCGGAUUGUAAAGUCCUGUGAUGAGAGAUGAUCACAAUGGUGGCUAACGAAUAACAAGCCACUAACUACUUGCCAGCAGCCGCGGUGAUACGGAGGAGGCAAGCGUUACUCGGAAUCACUGGGCGUAAAGAAGGCGUAGGCGGGAUAGUAAGUCAGCGGUGAAAUCCUAGGGCUUAACCAUAGAACUACAGUUGAAACUAUUAUUCUAGAGUAUGGGAGGGGUAGGUGGAAUUCUUGGUGUAGGGGUAAAAUGCGUAGAGAUCAAGAGGAAUACUAGGGGCGAAGGCGACUUACUAGAACAUAACUGACGCUGAUGCGCGAAAGCGUGGGGAGCAAACAGGAUUAGAUACCCGAGUAGUC